CGCAGGCGCAGCCCCGGCCGCGGAGCGGGAGCGGGGCCGGGCCCGGCGGGGCCGCCGCGGUGCCCUCACGGUCUGUACAGCCCCAAGGGUUUGGCCUGUGAUCAAGGAGUGGUCCUAAACGUAUGGAUAACAAGAAGGAGGAAAGAAGUAGGUCGCUAUGUGCAACAUCACAAGAAGAGCUGAAAGUCCGAGGAAAAGAAAAAAGGAAACGAAAACGUAGCAGAAGCAGAUCAUCAUCAAUUUCAUCCACAUCAUCUUCUAGUACUUCCACUACAUCCACUUCUUCCUCUUCAUCACGCUCAUCAUCGAGGUCUUCUUCCAGUACCAGAGAUUCUCCUAAAUCCAAAUCAAAGAAGAAGAAAAAAGAAAAACACAAUAAAAAGAAGAGGAAAAAAGAGAACAAAAUGAAGAAAAAGAAAGAAAAGAAGAAAAAGAGAGAGAAAGCAGGACCUGUCCAGCUUUCCAAGUUCUUUAAAAACAAAAAGAAGAAUGAAAACUACAGCAUGAUAACAGGAAAGAAAAUUAAGAUGAAAAUAAAGAAGUCUAAGAAGGAUAAAGAGAGAGACCGGAAUCGUGCAGAGCUCCUUGAGUUUCUGAACUCUGCCUUAUGAUGGAAAGAGUGCUGACCAAGGACUUGCUGACCAAGCCAACAAUCAUCAUGCCUAGCAAAACCCUACAGGGAAACUCAGGGAAAAGGGCACCAAGUUGGACAAGACCAGACUCUCCUGCUAUGAAGACAAUCAGGAUGUCCUUUUUAAUGACUGAAUGAAGAGUAACUGAUAACUUGUUAAUGAAGAUCCAUGUCCUCCUUUUGAGAUCCUAAG
This 824-nucleotide long non-coding RNA is filed under the name Apteryx owenii (little spotted kiwi). RNAcentral describes it as "lncRNA (ENSAOWG00000002202.1)". The record is from RNAcentral. Lineage: Eukaryota; Metazoa; Chordata; Aves; Apterygiformes; Apterygidae.